RNAcentral lists this ribosomal RNA (802 nucleotides) under uncultured SAR86 cluster bacterium. RNAcentral describes it as "SSU rRNA". It matches the Rfam family "Bacterial small subunit ribosomal RNA", at positions 62 to 861 of the family's 1533-position model. The record is from RNAcentral. Lineage: Bacteria; Pseudomonadati; Pseudomonadota; Gammaproteobacteria.
UCGAACGAGAAAGUUCCUUCGGGAGCGAGUAAAGUGGCGGACGGGUGAGUAACGCGUAGGAAUCUACCUUUCAGUGGGGGAUAGCUCGAGGAAACUCGAAUUAAUACCGCAUAUACCCUUAGGGGGAAAGGGGGCCUCUCCUUGGAAGCUCUCGCUGUUAGAUGAGCCUGCGUGAGAUUAGCUUGUUGGUAAGGUAAUGGCUUACCAAGGCUACGAUCUCUAGCUGGUCUGAGAGGACGAUCAGCCACACUGGGACUGAGACACGGCCCAGACUCCUACGGGAGGCAGCAGUAGGGAAUAUUGGACAAUGGGGGAAACCCUGAUCCAGGCAUGCCGCGUGUGUGAAGAAGGCCUUAGGGUUGUAAAGCACUUUAAGUGAGGAAGAAAAGAUUUAGAUUAAUACUUUGAAUCCCUGACAUUACUCACAGAAUAAGGACCGGCUAACUCCGUGCCAGCAGCCGCGGUAAUACGGAGGGUCCAAGCGUUAAUCGGAAUUACUGGGCGUAAAGCGCGCGUAGAUGGUCUAUUUAGUUGGGUGUGAAAUCCCUGGGCUCAACCUAGGAACUGCAUUCAAAACUUAUAGACUAGAGUACGAAAGAGGAGAGUAGAAUUCAUGGUGUAGCGGUGAAAUGCGUAGAUAUCAUGAGGAAUACCAGUGGCGAAGGCGACUCUCUGGUUCGAGACUGACAUUGAGGUGCGAAAGCGUGGGUAGCAAACAGGAUUAGAUACCCUGGUAGUCCACGCCGUAAACGAUGAGAACUAGCCGUUGGAUCUUUAGAUUCNGUGGCGCAGCUNACGCAUU